UACGAAGGGAGCUAGCGUUGUUCGGAAUUACUGGGCGUAAAGCGCACGUAGGCGGCUUUUUAAGUCAGGGGUGAAAUCCCCGGGGCUCAACCCCGGAACUGCCCUUGAAACUGGAGAGCUAGAAUCUUGGAGAGGCGAGUGGAAUUCCGAGUGUAGAGGUGAAAUUCGUAGAUAUUCGGAAGAACACCAGUGGCGAAGGCGACUCGCUGGACAAGUAUUGACGCUGAGGUGCGAAAGCGUGGGGAGCAACAGG
RNAcentral lists this ribosomal RNA (253 nucleotides) under uncultured bacterium. Its description in RNAcentral is "partial 16S ribosomal RNA". It matches the Rfam family "Bacterial small subunit ribosomal RNA", at positions 524 to 775 of the family's 1533-position model. The record is from RNAcentral.